AGAUUAAGUUAUUAAGGGCGCACGGUGGAUGCCUUGGCACUAGAAGCCGAUGAAGGACGUUACUAACGACGAUAUGCUUUGGGGAGCUGUAAGUAAGCUUUGAUCCAGAGAUUUCCGAAUGGGGAAACCCAGCAUGAGUUAUGUCAUGUUAUCGAUAUGUGAAUACAUAGCAUAUCAGAAGGCACACCCGGAGAACUGAAACAUCUUAGUACCCGGAGGAAGAGAAAGAAAAUUCGAUUCCCUUAGUAGCGGCGAGCGAAACGGGAAGAGCCCAAACCAACAAGCUUGCUUGUUGGGGUUGUAGGACACUCUAUACGGAGUUACAAAGGACGACAUUAGACGAAUCAUCUGGAAAGAUGAAUCAAAGAAGGUAAUAAUCCUGUAGUCGAAAAUGUUGUCUCUCUUGAGUGGAUCCUGAGUACGACGGAGCACGUGAAAUUCCGUCGGAAUCUGGGAGGACCAUCUCCUAAGGCUAAAUACUCUCUAGUGACCGAUAGUGAAGCAGUACCGUGAGGGAAAGGUGAAAAGCACCCCGGAAGGGGAGUGAAAUAGAACCUGAAACCGUGUGCUUACAAGUAGUCAGAGCCCGUUAAUGGGUGAUGGCGUGCCUUUUGUAGAAUGAACCGGCGAGUUACGAUUUGAUGCAAGGUUAAGCAGUAAAUGUGGAGCCGUAGCGAAAGCGAGUCUGAAUAGGGCGUUUAGUAUUUGGUCGUAGACCCGAAACCAGGUGAUCUACCCUUGGUCAGGUUGAAGUUCAGGUAACACUGAAUGGAGGACCGAACCGACUUACGUUGAAAAGUGAGCGGAUGAACUGAGGGUAGCGGAGAAAUUCCAAUCGAACCUGGAGAUAGCUGGUUCUCUCCGAAAUAGCUUUAGGGCUAGCCUCAAGUGAUGAUUAUUGGAGGUAGAGCACUGUUUGGACGAGGGGCCCCUCUCGGGUUACCGAAUUCAGACAAACUCCGAAUGCCAAUUAAUUUAACUUGGGAGUCAGAACAUGGGUAAUAAGGUCCGUGUUCGAAAGGGAAACAGCCCAGACCACCAGCUAAGGUCCCAAAAUAUAUGUUAAGUGGAAAAGGAUGUGGCGUUGCCCAGACAACUAGGAUGUUGGCUUAGAAGCAGCCAUCAUUUAAAGAGUGCGUAAUAGCUCACUAGUCGAGUGACACUGCGCCGAAAAUGUACCGGGGCUAAACAUAUUACCGAAGCUGUGGAUUGUCCUUUGGACAAUGGUAGGAGAGCGUUCUAAGGGCGUUGAAGCAUGAUCGUAAGGACAUGUGGAGCGCUUAGAAGUGAGAAUGCCGGUGUGAGUAGCGAAAGACGGGUGAGAAUCCCGUCCACCGAUUGACUAAGGUUUCCAGAGGAAGGCUCGUCCGCUCUGGGUUAGUCGGGUCCUAAGCUGAGGCCGACAGGCGUAGGCGAUGGAUAACAGGUUGAUAUUCCUGUACCACCUAUAAUCGUUUUAAUCGAUGGGGGGACGCAGUAGGAUAGGCGAAGCGUGCGAUUGGAUUGCACGUCUAAGCAGUAAGGCUGAGUAUUAGGCAAAUCCGGUACUCGUUAAGGCUGAGCUGUGAUGGGGAGAAGACAUUGUGUCUUCGAGUCGUUGAUUUCACACUGCCGAGAAAAGCCUCUAGAUAGAAAAUAGGUGCCCGUACCGCAAACCGACACAGGUAGUCAAGAUGAGAAUUCUAAGGUGAGCGAGCGAACUCUCGUUAAGGAACUCGGCAAAAUGACCCCGUAACUUCGGGAGAAGGGGUGCUCUUUAGGGUUAACGCCCAGAAGAGCCGCAGUGAAUAGGCCCAAGCGACUGUUUAUCAAAAACACAGGUCUCUGCUAAACCGUAAGGUGAUGUAUAGGGGCUGACGCCUGCCCGGUGCUGGAAGGUUAAGAGGAGUGGUUAGCUUCUGCGAAGCUACGAAUCGAAGCCCCAGUAAACGGCGGCCGUAACUAUAACGGUCCUAAGGUAGCGAAAUUCCUUGUCGGGUAAGUUCCGACCCGCACGAAAGGCGUAACGAUUUGGGCACUGUCUCAACGAGAGACUCGGUGAAAUCAUAGUACCUGUGAAGAUGCAGGUUACCCGCGACAGGACGGAAAGACCCCGUGGAGCUUUACUGUAGCCUGAUAUUGAAAUUCGGCACAGCUUGUACAGGAUAGGUAGGAGCCUUUGAAACGUGAGCGCUAGCUUACGUGGAGGCGCUGGUGGGAUACUACCCUAGCUGUGUUGGCUUUCUAACCCGCACCACUUAUCGUGGUGGGAGACAGUGUCAGGCGGGCAGUUUGACUGGGGCGGUCGCCUCCUAAAAGG
Molecule: ribosomal RNA, 2299 nt
Rfam family: Bacterial large subunit ribosomal RNA